UUAUCAUUAUGUGCAUUGCAUCUCUGUACUGCUGCACCCUUCAUGUGCUUUUUUGUUUACCCAUCAGCCGCAAUACGCCGACUCAAUGGUAUGCUCAAAAUUUUGCCACCAUGGGACCCCAUGCCCGAGUUGGCUAUUUAUAUAUUGUUCCUCCUUUUUCCGAAAACCACUCACAUUUUUUCUUUUUAACUCCCUGCUUUCCCAGGACCACCGCCAUUGCUGCGACAACUAACAAAAAUGGAUCUGACACCCCAGCACCCAAAAUCACUCCCCCCACCAAGUACCUGACACUUACCCCUUUCGAACUCCACAGAUUCCUGAAAGAAAAUAGGGUGGGAAGGGUGGGCCUGUUCCAGUCUGUGUAGUCCAGCGAAAAGACAUACAACCUGUGAAUACAGAAGAGAGAGAUUGAAACAAGAUAUGGAAACGCAUUGUAUUUAGGUGGAAUCUAACAUUACUUUCGUGAAUAGUUCCUUUUCUGACUUUGUGAGCCGGCUGAUGAAAUGGAAUAAGAUCAAGCCAAAACGGGAAUUUGUUUCACAUGCCAAACCAACCCUGUUUAGAAUGAGAAGACGCACGGAGGGAUAUAUUUAGAUUUGAUAUCCCCAAAAUAGGGCUAAACAACAUUUGGCAGGGCCGCUGAGUUGGCAGGGAAUUGUGUUACAACAAGGGUGACUUUUUAUACCAUAUGUUGAGUUGUGGAACUAGAAGUUUUUGGCUUAAGCUGCCAAAACUAUUAGCAAUCGACUGGUGCCAAAUGAUGGCAAACAACACAGUAGGGGCUGGCAGUGAGGAGCGGCAAAUGAGCAGACAAUAGGGUAUUGGGUGCAGUUUGCCAUCAGGUGGUCAUUAUCUCUUGGCCUGGCACUGCCAGAUCCCAGCCCUUGAUGGAAACUCUUUCUUGAUAUCAUCUAUUCAGAACUAAACUCCCCUUUGGAACACUAAUUCAAUCUUGGCACUGAGAUACCUAUAAGACAAUUUCAGCACUUAAAAGUCUCCUAUCUGAGUCUGUAAGCUUCCUACCUACUUAAACCGUAAGCUCUAUAGGGCAGGGACCUCCUUCCUCUACCUAAAUGGAGAUCCUUUAAUCAUGAUUAUAAAUAUUAUUUUGAAUUUA
Xenopus laevis (African clawed frog) is the source of this 1117-nucleotide long non-coding RNA. RefSeq lists it as uncharacterized. Lineage: Eukaryota; Metazoa; Chordata; Amphibia; Anura; Pipidae. The transcript is spliced from 2 exons. The record is from RefSeq and is a predicted model, not a curated record.